CGAUUAUCUGGGAAGUUUCAGGUCUUCAGACUUUUAUUUCUAUGGUGAAACUUAUUCUAAUUUCCAGCCCAAGAUUCUGGAACACAUCUCCCAUUAUGAAGUGGGCCUCAGGGUGGGAGUGGAAGCAGAACCUCUUGUUCACACUCCACACCCUCAUUUUCCAGCAGUGAAGGUAGACUAUUAAGGCUCUCAUGUCAUCAAGGAUGGAGGCAAUGGGAUAAUGGAGAUUCUAGACAUUUGUUUCGUCACCAGCGAAAAUUAAAUGAAGACUCAGGAAUCACUACAGCUACAGGGAUGAGAAGGACAUUUCAGCAGCUACAGUGUGGUGGAAACAAUUACAGAAAUUGGAAAAUAAUUAAAAACAGACAUUUGAAGGCACUGGAAAAUAACCAAAGGAAGACAAAAACUUCAGAAGUGUUUAUUACUGAAAUACUGCUACUGCAUCAGGUAGAAAGUGUAACCUUGUGGCUUGUUUUUGCAAAACCUCAGCUUACAUGACUCAGUUUCAGAGCGGAAGAAUUGCUGAAUACCUAAGGGAACAUUCUAGAAGCAGGAGCCCCACCAAAGAGCUGAAAUCCAGAAAUCUGAGCAAAAAUUUUGCCAAAUCUCUGGAUGGACCCAGGGAGUUUGUUGACAAAGCAGGGAGAGAGUAGAGGUGAGCCUGUUCCUGAAAGACAGAACUGCUUCUGGUGAGAUACUGGUUUGUCCUGUCUUUGAUUGAGUACAUUCGCUGGCCACACACAGCUUGGGUGGCAGAAAACAGAGCCUUAUUAGAUUGAUUUGUCACAAGGUAGAAUUCUGGCAUAAGAAGAGCAACUUCCAGUGAAUAUGCAUAUAGUUUACCGGGGGUACCUAGAGGCAAGAAACCACCAAAAGGGUGAGCCUUUAAAUCUGAGCACAAACUCAACUAUAGUCCUUGGCAGACUUCUAAGCAAAAUAGGCAUAGAGGAGGCCACCAGGGGCCUAGGCUGAAAAAACAGCAACUGGAAUCCAAGAACACUUGGCAACAAUAUCAGCUUCUUCACACCACGGGGGAGACAAAUUUCAGUUUGAUUCCAAGGCAAGUUAGUGGCUUAUGGAACCAAAACUUAGCAAUCCUAUGAAGAAGAAAGGAGAUUUCAGAGCCGCUAUAACACACCAGCUGUGCCAUCUUAAAUAACAGAGAAGAGGCACUAUGAAAGAAAAUAAUAUUUAUUUGGAAUGAGCAUUGCAAUGAGAUACAGGUGCCAUAGUAAACUAUAUUCAUAGUAAACUAUAUUCAGGGAGAUAGGGAAAAGACCGAAGUUUUAAAAGAAAAAAUGAGAAACAUUACAUGAUUAUUUUGAGAUAAUCAUCUUUGAAUACAAGGAUCAAUAACAAAAGUGACAUCAGUCAAAGGUUGGACCAGCAGUGACUAGACAGAUAUAUUCACAGAAAUAAUUUUUGUGUAAGAUCGCGAUGACUUUUGUGCAAAGUUGUGUUUUUCGUAGUCUUUCAUGAUAAUUUUUGUUAUUCAGCAUUCAUACAUGAGAACCUUCCCUUCCAUGAAGGGAAGCUUCACAGCCUUCCCUGGCUCCUUUUUUCUUUUCUUUUCUUUUCUCUCUCUCUCUCUCUUUCUGAAAAACCAGAAGUAAAUCCAUUUUGAUUCUGCAACUUUCACAUCUGUUAUGGAUUGAAUAUUCAUGUUCCCCAACAUUUAUAUGUUAAAGCCCUAAACCCCAAAGUGGCUGCAUUUAAAGAUGGAACCAAUUAGUUCCAAGGAACGAAUUAAAUUUAAAUGAGGUUGCAAGAGUGGAACCCUGAUUUGAUAAUAUUAUCUUCCUUAUAAGAAGAGACACUGGAGAUCUCUUGCUCUCUUUCUCCUUGCCCACACAUAAAGAAAAGGCCAGGUAAGAACAUAAUGAGAAAGUAGCCCUCUGCAAGCCAGGAAGAGACACUAGAUACCGAAUCAACCAGCACCUUCCUCUUUGACUUUUAGCUUUCGGAACUGAGAAAAUAAAUUUAUGUUUAAACCAACCACUCUACAGUAUUUGGUUAUGGCAGCCUGAGUCAAUGGUUAUGACAAGUUUGCAACAAAAAAUUACUAG
This is a long non-coding RNA of Papio anubis (olive baboon), 2066 nucleotides long. NCBI's taxonomy places the organism in Eukaryota, Metazoa, Chordata, Mammalia, Primates, Cercopithecidae. The record is from Ensembl.